Molecule: small nucleolar RNA, 107 nt
Organism: Dioscorea cayenensis subsp. rotundata (Guinea yam)
Lineage: Eukaryota; Viridiplantae; Streptophyta; Magnoliopsida; Dioscoreales; Dioscoreaceae
Source: RefSeq, a predicted model, not a curated record
AACCCAUGUCGAGAACAUUUCCGCAGGAGCUCCUUGAACCUAUCCCAUGACUCAAAUAGAGACUCUAUUUCCAUUUACACAAAAGAUGAUAUUUCAUUAGUAUGUUU